RNAcentral lists this ribosomal RNA (447 nucleotides) under uncultured bacterium. Its description in RNAcentral is "bacterial SSU rRNA". It matches the Rfam family "Bacterial small subunit ribosomal RNA", at positions 30 to 482 of the family's 1533-position model. The record is from RNAcentral.
AUUGAACGCUGGCGGCAGGCCUAACACAUGCAAGUCGAGCGGUAGAGAGGUGCUUGCAUCUCUUGAGAGCGGCGGACGGGUGAGUAAUGCCUAGGAAUCUGCCUAGUGGUGGGGGAUAACGUUCGGAAACGGACGCUAAUACCGCAUACGUCCUACGGGAGAAAGCGGGGGGAUCUUCGGACCUCGCGCCAUUAGAUGAGCCUAGGUCGGAUUAGCUAGUUGGUGAGGUAAUGGCUCACCAAGGCGACGAUCCGUAACUGGUCUGAGAGGAUGAUCAGUCACACUGGAACUGAGACACGGUCCAGACUCCUACGGGAGGCAGCAGUGGGGAAUAUUGGACAAUGGGCGAAAGCCUGAUCCAGCCAUGCCGCGUGUGUGAAGAAGGUCUUCGGAUUGUAAAGCACUUUAAGUUGGGAGGAAGGGUAGGUAACCUAAUACGUUAGCUAC